This 403-nucleotide ribosomal RNA is filed under the name uncultured bacterium. RNAcentral's name for it is "partial 16S ribosomal RNA". It matches the Rfam family "Bacterial small subunit ribosomal RNA", at positions 30 to 526 of the family's 1533-position model. The record is from RNAcentral.
AUUGAACGCUGGCGGCAGGCCUAACACAUGCAAGUCGAGCGAGCGGCGGACGGGUGAGUAAUGUAUGGGGGCUGCCCGAUAGAGGGGGAUAACUACUGGAAACGGUGGCUAAUACCGCAUACUGUCGGAUAACCCGUAUGGUAUUAGCUUGUUGGUAAGGUAAUGGCUUACCUAGGCGACGAUCGCUAGCUGGUCUGAGAGGAUGAUCAGCCACAUUGGGACGGGGACACGGCCCAGGCGCCUGCGGAGGCAGCAGUGGGGAAUGGUGCGCAAUGGGCGGGAGUCUGAUGCAGCCAGGCCGAGUGUAUGAAGAAGGCCCUAGGUUUGUAAAGUACUUUCAGUCGGGAGGCGUUACCGACAGAAGAAGCACCGGCUAACUCCGUGCCAGCAGCCGCGGUAAUAC